This 248-nucleotide ribosomal RNA is filed under the name uncultured bacterium. RNAcentral describes it as "partial 16S ribosomal RNA". It matches the Rfam family "Bacterial small subunit ribosomal RNA", at positions 524 to 771 of the family's 1533-position model. The record is from RNAcentral.
UACGAAGGGGGCUAGCGUUGUUCGGAUUUACUGGGCGUAAAGCGCACGUAGGCGGAUCGUUAAGUCGGGGGUGAAAUCCUGGAGCUCAACUCCAGAACUGCCUUCGAUACUGGCGCUCUUGAGUCCGGAAGAGGUGAGUGGAACUCCUAGUGUAGAGGUGGAAUUCGUAGAUAUUAGGAAGAACACCAGUGGCGAAGGCGGCUCACUGGUCCGGUACUGACGCUGAGGUGCGAAAGCGUGGGUACGCA